RNAcentral lists this ribosomal RNA (484 nucleotides) under uncultured bacterium. Its description in RNAcentral is "partial 16S ribosomal RNA". It matches the Rfam family "Bacterial small subunit ribosomal RNA", at positions 28 to 507 of the family's 1533-position model. The record is from RNAcentral.
AUUGAACGCUGGCGGCAGGCCUAACACAUGCAAGUCGUGCGGUAGAAGGGAUCUGGCUCCUGGCUUCAGCGGAGGACGGGUGUGAAAUGCCUAGGAACCUGCCUGGUAGUGGGGGAUAACGUCCGGAAACGGGCGCUAAUACCGCAUACGUCCUGUGCGAGAUGGUGGGGGUUGUUAGGACCCCGCGCUAUCAGAUGAGCCUGGGUCGGAUUAGCUUGUUGGUGGGGUAGAGGCCUACCAAGGCGACGAUCCGUAACUGGUCUGAGAGGGUGAGCAGUCACACUGGAGGUGAGAGACGGUACAGGCUCCGACGGAAGGCACCGGUGCGGAAUGUUGGAAGAUGGGGGAAAGACUGAUCCAGGGGUGCCGGGCGUGUGAAGAAGGGCUUCGGACUGGAAAGCAGUUUUAGUGGUGAGGAAGGGCAGUAACUGAGUACCUGGCUGUUGUGACGUUACCAACAGAAGAAGCACCGGCUAACUACGUG